ACUAGUUGAAUGUUCCUAGAAGGUCCUAUACCAGUCAAGCGCCGUCCUUUUGCCUCUUAAUGCGCAUGCUUCAGCCCACGCACCCAAAUCCUGAGCUCUUAUCCGAAAGCUGCUGAUCACCAGCUUCAGGUGUUUUCUGUCUGUUGGGAGCCUGCCUUUCCCUGGCACCGGCUGUCACCAAUUAUUUUAGAGAGACAGUGUAACAACCACCUGACCAUCUCACCUGAUGGUUGCUGGGGGGCGUUCUUCUGCCCUGCUUAUGUGUGCCUGACUACCUACUGUAACAAGAGGAGCCCUGCCCUGAAGACAGCGCAAUACAGGGAAGAAGGGAUCGCUUCAGACCAGGAGGGCCUCACUGCAAGACUCCUGACAAGGCAGGUAGAACCGUGGGGUGUGCAGAAUUCAAAGCCACUUUUGCCAACAGAACAGAGGAAAGCAGGAGGCAACUAGAAUUUCCAAAAGAAGUGUCACAAGAGGUCACAGCACACUGAGGUUACAGCAGUGGAAGUUGGAGCGCUAUGGAAAGCAAUUAGCAAUAUCUGUUAAAAGUCAUUAAAGCAUCCAAAUCCCUUCAUCAAGUAACUCUACUCUCAGACGUCUAUCCCAACAUUAUAAAGAGAUGGUCAAAAAUCUGAUCUGAUUUAUCUUCCUAUGUAUCUGAUGAAUGGUUUAUCCAGGGACUGGCAAAAGGAGAAAAACAAGAUGCAGAGGAAUGAGACUGAGAGUACCACAGUGUGAACAGUUUCCCCAAAGUGCUUCAUUUUGGCUCCAG
This 772-nucleotide long non-coding RNA is filed under the name Homo sapiens (human). Its description in RNAcentral is "HSALNT0132726". Lineage: Eukaryota; Metazoa; Chordata; Mammalia; Primates; Hominidae. The record is from RNAcentral.